UACGGAGGGUGCGAGCGUUACUCGGAAUUACUGGGCGUAAAGCGCACGUAGUCGGCUUUGCAAGUCGGUUGUGAAAUCCCCGGGCUCAACCUGGGAACUGCAUCCGAGACUGCAUUGCUAGAGUAUGGGAGAGGAAAGCGGAAUUUCUGGUGUAGCAGUGAAAUGCGUAGAUAUCAGAAGGAACAUCAGUGGCGAAGGCGGCUUUCUGGACCAAUACUGACGAUCAGGUGCGAAAGCGUGGGGAGCGAACAGG
Molecule: ribosomal RNA, 253 nt
Filed under: uncultured bacterium
Lineage: Bacteria
Description: partial 16S ribosomal RNA
Rfam family: Bacterial small subunit ribosomal RNA
Source: RNAcentral